RNAcentral lists this transfer RNA (70 nucleotides) under Symploce macroptera. RNAcentral describes it as "tRNA-Asn". The record is from RNAcentral. Lineage: Eukaryota; Metazoa; Arthropoda; Insecta; Blattodea; Blattellidae.
UUAACUGAAACCAAAAUAGAGGUAUAUUACUGUUAAUAAUAUAAUUGAAUUAUAAAUUAUUCCAGUUAAG